Perognathus longimembris pacificus (Pacific pocket mouse) is the source of this 1721-nucleotide long non-coding RNA. RefSeq lists it as uncharacterized. The record is from RefSeq and is a predicted model, not a curated record. NCBI's taxonomy places the organism in Eukaryota, Metazoa, Chordata, Mammalia, Rodentia, Heteromyidae. The transcript has 3 exons.
UGUAAUCCUAGACACUUUGGAAGCUGAGACCAGAAAGAUCACAGUUUGAAGCCAACCUGGAACAAAAGUUUGCAAGAUUCCAUCUCAGUGGAAGAAGCUGAGCAUUCUUCAUGUGCCUAUUAUCUUAGCUAUGUGGGAGAUGUCAAAUAGGAGGGUGGUGGUCCCAAAAUAAUCCUAGGCAAAAAGCAAAACUACCUGAAAAAUAAUCCAUGCAGAAAGAAGAGGAGAUGCACUUUCCCAGAAAGUGUGAAGUUUUGAAUUCAAACCAUAGUAUUUGCAACAAAAACAGUCAAAUGAAUUACUGAUAUUGUUUUUUUCAAGUUCUUGUUUUCCUAGCCCCACUCAGCAUUCAUUCUCAUCUGAGGAAUCCCAGCUGCCCCAUCUCCUGCCUGAGCAGGGCCCAUGCAGGAGUAUUCUUUUCCUAAUUGCCAGGAGCAUAUGUAGGAAGGAAAAGAGUACAGUCAUAUUUAUCCACACACAUGAUUUGCUCAACUCUCCAAUAGAUUCACCUCAGCACCUAACAUCUUAUGGGUUUACUUUCAUUUUCCUCUCUUUCAUUUUAUUUGCCUCAUCAUGAAUGAUAUUUCUUUGUAGGUGUUGGGGGUAUUGUACAUGCUAGACAAAACCUCUGCCACUAAACUACAUCUAGCUACACCCAAAGUACAACUGAAUUAUAAUAGUAAAUUGUCCUAAUAUAGAACUCAGUUUUGCUUCUCCAGGGAAUUGGUAACUGAUCAACAACCCAUCAAGAUACAUAAUUUGUGCUAAGCACAGUUACGCAGUAUUUCAAUGUGAUUUUGACUAGGACACCACAAAAAGCAAAAUAAGAUGUAUAACUACAUCCAAAUCCAAGUGUUUUUAGAGCCUAGACCUGUGUGAUUUCUUUGAGCCAGUCUUGAGCUCCACACAAAGCCACCAAGCUAAUCUCUUAGCUGUGAGUUAACAUGUUCCCUCCUCCACAGUGGAGCCCUAUCAGGCUCCUCCUGCCCAAGCCCCUUUUCUCUGAGGGGGCAGAACCUUUGCUGUGGUUCUAAGUCCACGUUUCUAGAGUCCAUUAAGCAGAGAAAUUGGUCUCUAUGCCCCUGAACACACACAAACAUAUUCAAAACCUACUUUCUAUCAUCCUUUAGUACAAGUCAUUGAUCUAAAGCAAGAGCAGAAAAGGUUCUAAUUGAAAGAGGGUUGCAAAUAUCUGGUGAUAGGCCUGGUUGAAAGGGGCUUGGUAGAUAUGCCUACCUGGUUCAUCUCUAGUGUUCAUCUCCAUGUUCCUAAGUCCUUUUCCUCAUAUCUAAAAUACUCUUUCCCACCUAAAUUCCUUCCCUGGCCUACAAACCACACGAAAUGCCACUUGAAAACCAUAAACCAUGGGUUUCACAAUAGCUAACAUCACCUCCCAUACUCCUAUACUGGCAUUGUUCUCAUUGAAUUCAUAAAGAGACAUAGAACUGAUUCUCUGUAACUUGACUUAAUUACAAUUCUAAUGUAUUUUUAACAUAUGCAAUCAAAAGAUUCCUGAUAUCCUGAAGGAAAUUUGCUCUUAAGUCAUAAUUAAGGAUCCUUGUGAUGUGUAAACAACAGAAUUGUUUAUACCUCUUCAACUGCUCUUGGCAGUUCUCAAGGGGGUUUUACGUAGAGGAAAUGUCACAUAGUUCUUCAACAGGAGGAUGAAAAUAGAGAGGAAAACUAAACACUCAGCACUGUAUCAUCUGCCUGGGCUCCAG